UGGGGAAUAUUGCACAAUGGGGGAAACCCUGAUGCAGCCAUGCCGCGUGUGUGAAGAAGGCCUUCGGGUUGUAAAGCACUUUCAGCGAGGAGGAAAGGUGGUUGGCUAAUACCCAAUCGCUGUGACGUUACUCGCAGAAGAAGCACCGGCUAACUCCGUGCCAGCAGCCGCGGUAAUACGGAGGGUGCAAGCGUUAAUCGGAAUUACUGGGCGUAAAGCGCACGCAGGCGGUUGGAUAAGUUAGAUGUGAAAGCCCCGGGCUCAACCUGGGAAUUGCAUUUAAAACUGUCCAGCUAGAGUCUUGUAGAGGGGGGUAGAAUUCCAGGUGUAGCGGUGAAAUGCGUAGAGAUCUGGAGGAAUACCGGUGGCGAAGGCGGCCCCCUGGACAAAGACUGACGCUCAUGCACGAAAGCGUGGGGAGCAAACA
Molecule: ribosomal RNA, 427 nt
Filed under: uncultured bacterium
Lineage: Bacteria
Description: bacterial SSU rRNA
Rfam family: Bacterial small subunit ribosomal RNA
Source: RNAcentral